GCAGUCGUGGUGAUGGACUAGAAAUCCAUUGGAGUCUCCCCGCACAGGUUCGAAUCCUGUCGACUGCG
Non-coding RNA from Ixodes scapularis (black-legged tick), 68 nucleotides. Lineage: Eukaryota; Metazoa; Arthropoda; Arachnida; Ixodida; Ixodidae. The record is from Rfam.